Cyprinus carpio (common carp) is the source of this 396-nucleotide long non-coding RNA. The record is from Ensembl. NCBI's taxonomy places the organism in Eukaryota, Metazoa, Chordata, Actinopteri, Cypriniformes, Cyprinidae.
GUGAUUUACCUCAGACAAAGAGGGCACCUUGGGAAUUUAAGUUGGCGUACUUUUAAAAGUUUGAAGUAAACAACUCUUGCUCAUUUACUUUACUCUUGCCCUCAGUUACGCAAUGGACUCUAGCUGAACAAAAGUCUCACUGAAGACUGGUUGUGUUUCAUCUGCUCCCUAAUUCCCUAUGACGUGAUUCAGGACAUCGUGAACAAAUGGAACAGAGAUGAAAGAUCACAUAAAGAAACAACUUUAAAUACUUAAGAAGAAAUAGUGACAUUUCUAGUAAGUAAAUAUUAUUGCUAGUUUCACGGUGGGUUGCAUUCUGGGAAUUUCUGAGGCAUGAACAUUUCUCUGCUUAGAGUGAUUUGGACAAUGGGACAGCCUCAAAAACGUCUGACUCCC